AGUGAACGCUGGCGGUAGGCCUAACACAUGCAAGUCGAACGGCAGCACAGUAAGAGCUUGCUCUUACGGGUGGCGAGUGGCGGGCGGGUGAGGAAUACAUCGGAAUCUACUUUUUCGUGGGGGAUAACGUAGGGAAACUUACGCUAAUACCGCAUACGACCUACGGGUGAAAGCAGGGGAUCUUCGGACCUUGCGCGAUUGAAUGAGCCGAUGUCGGAUUAGCUAGUUGGCGGGGUAAAGGCCCACCAAGGCGACGAUCCGUAGCUGGUCUGAGAGGAUGAUCAGCCACACUGGAGCUGAGACACGGUCCAGACUCCUACGGGAGGCAGCAGUGGGGAAUAUUGGACAAUGGGCGCAAGCCUGAUCCAGCCAUACCGCGUGGGUGAAGAAGGCCUUCGGGUUGUAAAGCCCUUUUGUUGGGAAAGAAAAGCAGCAGGUUAAUACCCCGCUGUUCUGACGGUACCCAAAGAAUAAGCACCGGCUAACUUCGUG
This 492-nucleotide ribosomal RNA is filed under the name uncultured bacterium. Its description in RNAcentral is "partial 16S ribosomal RNA". It matches the Rfam family "Bacterial small subunit ribosomal RNA", at positions 29 to 507 of the family's 1533-position model. The record is from RNAcentral.